CUCUCUACUCGAGACUCUCUCUCUCUACCCUCUCGCCGGAAAUCGUCGUCGCCGGAACCUCAUCCUUUACCAAAAUUUCCAGAUUUUCUUCUCUUCCUUCCCUCUUUCCAUUUCUCUAACCAAAAUCAAGAAAUUUGGCCAUCCAACCCUCCAAAAACCUUAGAACCCGAAGCUAAAUUGGGGCUUUUUGUGAUUUCUUCUUUCCAAGUUCAAAUCAAGAGGCUAGGCUAUGGGUUUGGCAAGGAUUUGUGGUGAAGAAGGCCAAUGAGGAGGAUUAGGCCAUGAGUUUUGAAGAAGAAAGGGUAAGGAAUGGGUUUUGGACAAACCCUAGAAUUUUUGGAAUUUAUUUGGUUGAUUUUGAUUUUGUUGAGAUAUUGUUGUUGUUGGAAAAAUUGUGAAAAUUAGAUAUUUGAAGAGAGUUUAAUUAGUAGGAUUUUUUGGUCUAAUUUUCAAAGGAUUGGAAAUUGGUGUUGAAGAUUUUGGUGAUUAUUGUUGUGUAGUUUUGGCCAAAAGAAAAAGAAAAGGAAGAAGAAAAGAAAUGUUUUUGUUUUUGGAAGAAAAAGAAAAUGAAGAAAAUGGUAAAAGUUUGAUUAAAUGAGUUUUACCUUGGUAAAUUGGUAAAAAAGUGAAGAAGGUGAAAGUAAAGGUAAAUUCGGUAAAAAGGAGGUAAAAGGUAAAAGUGUAAGUGUGGAGGUGAAAUUCAUGGUAAAAGUGAAAAGGUGAAAAAGGAGAAGUAAAUUGGUAAAAGUGAAAGUAAAACUUUAUUUAUAAUUAUUUACUUAUUUAUUUUUGAUAAAUAAGAAAUAAUGGUAAAUAAGGGAAUACUUGGUCAAAAGUCA
Long non-coding RNA from Rosa rugosa (rugosa rose), 839 nucleotides. RefSeq lists it as uncharacterized. Lineage: Eukaryota; Viridiplantae; Streptophyta; Magnoliopsida; Rosales; Rosaceae. The record is from RefSeq and is a predicted model, not a curated record. The transcript is spliced from 3 exons.